Molecule: ribosomal RNA, 508 nt
Filed under: Klebsiella pneumoniae
Lineage: Bacteria; Pseudomonadati; Pseudomonadota; Gammaproteobacteria; Enterobacterales; Enterobacteriaceae
Description: partial 23S ribosomal RNA
Rfam family: Bacterial large subunit ribosomal RNA
Source: RNAcentral
AGCCAUGGGCAGGUUGAAGGUUGGGUAACACUAACUGGAGGACCGAACCGACUAAUGUUGAAAAAUUAGCGGAUGACUUGUGGCUGGGGGUGAAAGGCCAAUCAAACCGGGAGAUAGCUGGUUCUCCCCGAAAGCUAUUUAGGUAGCGCCUCGUGAACUCAUCUUCGGGGGUAGAGCACUGUUUCGGCUAGGGGGUCAUCCCGACUUACCAACCCGAUGCAAACUACGAAUACCGAAGAAUGUUAUCACGGGAGACACACGGCGGGUGCUAACGUCCGUCGUGAAGAGGGAAACAACCCAGACCGCCAGCUAAGGUCCCAAAGUCAUGGUUAAGUGGGAAACGAUGUGGGAAGGCACAGACAGCCAGGAUGUUGGCUUAGAAGCAGCCAUCAUUUAAAGAAAGCGUAAUAGCUCACUGGUCGAGUCGGCCUGCGCGGAAGAUGUAACGGGGCUAAACCAUGCACCGAAGCUGCGGCAGCGACACUAUGUGUUGUUGGGUAGGGGAGCG